GACGAACGCUGGCGGCGUGCUUAACACAUGCAAGUCGAACGGAAAGGCCCCUUUGGGGGUACUCGAGUGGCGCACGGGUGAGUAACACGUGAGUAACCUGCCCUUGACUUCGGGAUAACUUCAGGAAACUGGGGCUAAUACCGGAUAGGAAUCCUUGCUGCAUGGUGGGGGUUGGAAAGCUUCGGCGGUUUUGGAUGGACUCGCGGCUUAUCAGCUUGUUGGUGGGGUAGUGGCUUACCAAGGCUUUGACGGGUAGCCGGCCUGAGAGGGCGACCGGCCACAUUGGGACUGAGAUACGGCCCAGACUCCUACGGGAGGCAGCAGUGGGGAAUAUUGCACAAUGGGCGGAAGCCUGAUGCAGCAACGCCGCGGGCGGGAGGACGGCCUUCGGGUUGUAAACCGGUUUCAGCAGGGGCGAAGCUUGUGGUGACGGUACCUGCAGAAGAAGCACCGGCUAACUACGUG
RNAcentral lists this ribosomal RNA (465 nucleotides) under uncultured bacterium. RNAcentral's name for it is "partial 16S ribosomal RNA". It matches the Rfam family "Bacterial small subunit ribosomal RNA", at positions 28 to 507 of the family's 1533-position model. The record is from RNAcentral.